GACGAACGCUGGCGGCGUGCCUAACACAUGCAAGUCGAACGAAGAAUGUUUUCGGAAUAUUCUUAGUGGCGGACGGGUGAGUAACGCGUGAACAAUCUGCCCCGUACAAAGGGAUAGCCUCGGGAAACCGGGAUUAAAACCAUAUAACACUUAACUGCCGCAUGGUAGUGAAGUCAAAUCGAUUAAGAGGUACGGGAUGAGUUCGCGUCUGAUUAGCUAGUUGGUGAGGUAAGGGCUCACCAAGGCGACGAUCAGUAGCCGGCCUGAGAGGGUGAACGGCCACACUGGAACUGAGACACGGUCCAGACUCCUACGGGAGGCAGCAGUGGGGAAUAUUGCACAAUGGAGGGAACUCUGAUGCAGCGACGCCGCGUGAGUGAAGAAGGUCUUCGGAUCGUAAAACUCUGUCCUUGGUGAAGAAAAGGACGGUAGCCAAGGAGGAAGCCCCGGCUAACUACGUG
RNAcentral lists this ribosomal RNA (461 nucleotides) under uncultured bacterium. RNAcentral's name for it is "bacterial SSU rRNA". It matches the Rfam family "Bacterial small subunit ribosomal RNA", at positions 28 to 507 of the family's 1533-position model. The record is from RNAcentral.